UGGGGAAUAUUGGACAAUGGGCGCAAGCCUGAUCCAGCAAUGCCGCGUGUGUGAAGAAGGCCUUCGGGUUGUAAAGCACUUUUAUCAGGAGCGAAACGCUGUCGGCUAAUACCCGGCGGAACUGACGGUACCUGAGGAAUAAGCACCGGCUAACUUCGUGCCAGCAGCCGCGGUAAUACGAAGGGUGCAAGCGUUAAUCGGAAUUACUGGGCGUAAAGCGUGCGUAGGCGGUUUCUUAAGUCUGCUGUGAAAUCCCCGGGCUCAACCUGGGAAUGGCAGUGGAUACUGGGAGGCUAGAGUGUGUCAGAGGGUGGUGGAAUUCCCGGUGUAGCGGUGAAAUGCGUAGAGAUCGGGAGGAACAUCAGUGGCGAAGGCGGCCACCUGGGACAACACUGACGCUGAGGCACGAAAGCGUGGGGAGCAAACAGGAUUAGAUACCCUGGUAGUCCACGCCCUAAACGAUGCGAACUGGAUGUUGGUCUCAACUCGGAGAUCAGUGUCGAAGCUAACGNGUUAAGUUCGCCGCCUGGGGAGUACGGUCGCAAGACUGAAACUCAAAGGAAUUGACGGGGUCAUAGCUGUUUCCUG
This 588-nucleotide ribosomal RNA is filed under the name uncultured bacterium. RNAcentral describes it as "partial 16S ribosomal RNA". It matches the Rfam family "Bacterial small subunit ribosomal RNA", at positions 355 to 1376 of the family's 1533-position model. The record is from RNAcentral.